GUCUGGUGACAUAGCUCAGUCAGCAGAGCACGAGACUCUUAAUCUCAAAGUCGUGAGUUCAAGCCCCACACUGGGCA
Podarcis lilfordi (Lilford's wall lizard) is the source of this 77-nucleotide non-coding RNA. The record is from the annotation of a GenBank genome assembly. Lineage: Eukaryota; Metazoa; Chordata; Lepidosauria; Squamata; Lacertidae.